CGGGGUGCAGCAGGCGCGAAAACUUUACAAUGCCGGCAACGGCGAUAAGGGAACCUCGAGUGCCAGGUUACAAAUCUGGCUGUCGUGAUGCCUAAAAAGCAUUGCAUAGCAAGGGCCGGGCAAGACCGGUGCCAGCCGCCGCGGUAACACCGGCGGCUCGAGUGGUAACCGUUAUUAUUGGGUCUAAAGGGUCUGUGGCCGGCCGGGUAAGUCUCUUGGGAAAUCUGGCAGCUUAACUGUCAGGCUUUCAGGAGAUACUGCCUGGCUCGAGGCCGGGAGAGGUGAGAGGUACUUCAGGGGUAGGGGUGAAAUCUUGUAAUCCUUGAAGGACCUCCAGUGGCGAAGGCGUCUCACCAGAACGGACCUGACGGCAAGGGACGAAAGCUAGGGGCACGAACCGGAUUAGAUACCCGGGUAGUCCUAGCCGUAAACGAUACUCGCUAGGUGUCGGCCACGGUACGACCGUGGUCGGUGCCGUAGGGAAGCCGUGAAGCGAGCCACCUGGGAAGUACGGCCGCAAGGCUGAAACUUAAAGGAAUUGGCGGGGGAGCACAAGGGCGAUUCGCGG
This 568-nucleotide ribosomal RNA is filed under the name uncultured archaeon. Its description in RNAcentral is "bacterial SSU rRNA". It matches the Rfam family "Archaeal small subunit ribosomal RNA", at positions 326 to 900 of the family's 1478-position model. The record is from RNAcentral.